RNAcentral lists this ribosomal RNA (660 nucleotides) under Blastococcus sp. I12A-02609. Its description in RNAcentral is "bacterial SSU rRNA". It matches the Rfam family "Bacterial small subunit ribosomal RNA", at positions 71 to 745 of the family's 1533-position model. Lineage: Bacteria; Bacillati; Actinomycetota; Actinomycetes; Geodermatophilales; Geodermatophilaceae. The record is from RNAcentral.
GAACUCCGCUUGCGGGGGGAUCAGUGGCGAACGGGUGAGUAACACGUGGGCAACCUGCCCUCAGCUCUGGGAUAACUCCAAGAAAUUGGGGCUAAUACCGGAUAUGACUGCUGACCGCAUGGUCUGGUGGUGGAAAGAUUUAUCGGCUGGGGAUGGGCCCGCGGCCUAUCAGCUUGUUGGUGGGGUAGUGGCCUACCAAGGCGACGACGGGUAGCCGGCCUGAGAGGGUGACCGGCCACACUGGGACUGAGACACGGCCCAGACUCCUACGGGAGGCAGCAGUGGGGAAUAUUGCGCAAUGGGCGAAAGCCUGACGCAGCGACGCCGCGUGGGGGAUGACGGCCUUCGGGUUGUAAACCUCUUUCAGCAGGGACGAAGCGCAAGUGACGGUACCUGCAGAAGAAGCACCGGCCAACUACGUGCCAGCAGCCGCGGUAAUACGUAGGGUGCAAGCGUUGUCCGGAAUUAUUGGGCGUAAAGAGCUCGUAGGCGGUUCGUCGCGUCGGCUGUGAAAACCUGAGGCUCAACCUCAGGCCUGCAGUCGAUACGGGCGGACUUGAGUACUGCAGGGGAGACUGGAAUUCCUGGUGUAGCGGUGAAAUGCGCAGAUAUCAGGAGGAACACCGGUGGCGAAGGCGGGUCUCUGGGCAGUAACUGACG